Molecule: ribosomal RNA, 222 nt
Filed under: uncultured bacterium
Lineage: Bacteria
Description: partial 16S ribosomal RNA
Rfam family: Bacterial small subunit ribosomal RNA
Source: RNAcentral
UACGUAGGGUGCGAGCGUUAAUCGGAAUUACUGGGCGUAAAGCGUGCGCAGGCGGUUUUGUAAGACAGAUGUGAAAUCCCCGGGCUCAACCUGGGAACUGCGUUUUGUGACUGCAAGACUUGAGUAUGGCAGAGGGGGGGUAGAAUUCCACGUGUAGCAGUGAAAUGCGUAGAGAUGUGGAGGAAUACCGAUGGCGAAGGCAGCCCCCUGGGUCAAUACUGA